UACAGAGGGUGCGAGCGUUUGUCCGGAAUCACUGGGCGUAAAGGGCGCGUAGGUGGCGACCCAAGUCGAUGGUGAAAGCUCGCCGCUCAACGGCGAGUCGGCCACCGAUACUGGGUUGCUGGAGCACUGUAGAGGCAGAUGGAAUUCCGGGUGUAGCGGUGGAAUGCGUAGAGAUCCGGAAGAACGACCGGUGGCGAAGGCGGUCUGCUGGGCAGUUGCUGGACACUG
This 228-nucleotide ribosomal RNA is filed under the name uncultured bacterium. RNAcentral describes it as "partial 16S ribosomal RNA". It matches the Rfam family "Bacterial small subunit ribosomal RNA", at positions 524 to 748 of the family's 1533-position model. The record is from RNAcentral.